Molecule: ribosomal RNA, 492 nt
Filed under: uncultured bacterium
Lineage: Bacteria
Description: partial 16S ribosomal RNA
Rfam family: Bacterial small subunit ribosomal RNA
Source: RNAcentral
AGUGAACGCUGGCGGUAGGCCUAACACAUGCAAGUCGAACGGCAGCACAGUAAGAGCUUGCUCUUACGGGUGGCGAGUGGCGGACGGGUGAGGAAUACAUCGGAAUCUACUUUUUCGUGGGGGAUAACGUAGGGAAACUUACGCUAAUACCGCAUACGACCUACGGGUGAAAGCAGGGGAUCUUCGGACCUUGCGCGAUUGAAUGAGCCGAUGUCGGAUUAGCUAGUUGGCGGGGUAAAGGCCCACCAAGGCGACGAUCCGUAGCUGGUCUGAGAGGAUGAUCGGCCACACUGGAACUGAGACACGGUCCAGACUCCUACGGGAGGCAGCAGUCGGGAAUAUUGGGCAAUGGGCGCAAGCCUGAUCCAGCCAUACCGCGUGGGUGAAGAAGGCCUUCGGGUUGUAAAGCCCUUUUGUUGGGAAAGAAAAGCAGCAGGUUAAUACCCCGCUGUUCUGACGGUACCCAAAGAAUAAGCACCGGCUAACUUCGUG